AGUGAUGCUUUGUUCUGUUCCGUGUCAUCAACUGCCCGUUGUUUUGAUUUGUAUAGCAUGUGUUAUGCUCUGUUAUGCUUUAGCUGCAUUGGUAUUGUGGUGUGCAUUGGGGGUUAGCCUCUCAUAUCGAAGGAAGGAAGCAACCAUUGCAUUUGUGCUUUCGCUGAUGCUUAGGGAAAGUAAACCAUGUGGAGGAGAUAUCAGCUGCAUGUAUUACUAUAUUUUUUCAGCAAGCUGAUUGGGCCUACCAGCUAGAGUGUCGAGGAUCUUAGGUAGAAAGCUCAGUCCAACUGGUCUUGUUUGGACUAUGCCAACCCAGACAACACGUGCUUGUUAUCAAAGCAUCACUAGUAUGCACAUAACUCAAUUCACUGUGCGAGAGCUCACGCAGAGUACAUAUUCUUUAUAUGAGAAAUGCUUCUUAUUUCACUCUACAGACAUGUGUCUAUAUUCUGGCAAUCUGAUGCUUAAAUUCAUUAGUAUUCAAUUUUAGUUAAAUACGAUUGAUAAUAACCAGGUUUGUCGCUUAUGUUUAUUCUUAGUUUGUUCAUGGCAAGUGGUUACUUUCUGUUUGAAUUCUUAAUAAUACUUAUAACAUUAUAUGCUGAAAGAUCAGAGCAUGUUUGAAUAUUUCAAAUGAAGCAUUCAGAAGUAGUGACCUCUUUGGUUCAUUUCCGAAAGAAAACUAAUACUAUUGAGUUGUUUGUGCAUCAACUCUAGAACAUAUAUAUUCUCCUUUUGGGUUACUGCUGCGAUGUAUUUGCAUAUAUUGUCCAGAUCAUCCUACUGUUGCUAAUGCUGCUAGUUAGCAGCUUGGUUAUUCUAAAUUCUAAGCAAGAUAAAUUGGUUGAAUAAGUUUUUCUCUACAUGAUUCUGCCAGAUUUAGAUAGCCAAUCAUUGCUAAUUGGCUUUGUAUUUUGGAAACUGGUUACUUGUGUUACUGUUACUAUGAUGCACGUUUAUAGAUUCCAGGUUUGGUUGUUUAGUUCCUUCAUCCAUCCUUUUCCGGGUAGCAUGGGAGAAGUGGAGGUGGCCAUGAGGGAACCAUGGCUGCCGGAUUCGGCAUGACCUGGUUGUUUCGGCUCCGGCGGCGCAUGUGUUUUGCUGGCUGCAGCCCCUUGUGCCUCGUUGAGGCCAUGCACUUGCUGGAGCUAGGCGAAAGGAGCAGCACCGCUGGUUCGAGGCUGGAGGUUGUUGACAGCAACCUUGAGAAGCAGUGUGAGUCAGGCGUUAUGGGCGCUCAAGUGCUACAAUGAGUUUAUGAGAACACUUGCCAAGGGUGUGUGUGAUUGUGUUAUGCAUCAGAUGUUGCUGCCAGGAUUCAAUGUGAAGGAUAUUGAGGAGGUGUCAUGUGAUUCUUUAGGAGCUGAAGGUUAUGAGCGAUGAUUCUGGCAUUUGAUGUUUAGCUGAAGUAUAUCCAAUGAGAUGUUCCAUCAAGGACCUCAAGGAAUUCUUGAAGGAUCCACGGUCAGAGGCAGCUUCUCACCUUAGUGGUGGCAGAUUUGACUAAUUAGAAAGAAACUAGAGCUCUAGCCACUAAUUUUGUUCACUAAAUCCCAAUAAUGGGGGUGGCUAAGUACCCCUUGGCCCCCCUUGUCUCUGUUUCUGGAAGGAGCUGCCAGACUGAUGGAAGAAGGCAGUGGACAGUGAGGGCAUUGAGGCUAGUGAAGAUCACCAACCCGCAGCACAAUACCCUGUGUGGUGGU
Long non-coding RNA from Lolium rigidum, 1706 nucleotides. RefSeq lists it as uncharacterized. Lineage: Eukaryota; Viridiplantae; Streptophyta; Magnoliopsida; Poales; Poaceae. The record is from RefSeq and is a predicted model, not a curated record. The transcript has 3 exons.